GAUGAACGCUGGCGGCGUGCCUAAUACAUGCAAGUCGAGCGAACAGACGAGGAGCUUGCUCCUCUGACGUUAGCGGCGGACGGGUGAGUAACACGUGGAUAACCUACCUAUAAGACUUGGAUAACUUCGGGAAACCGGAGCUAAUACCGGAUAAUAUAUUGAACCGCAUGGUUCAAUAGUGAAAGACGGUUUUGCUGUCACUUAUAGAUGGAUCCGCGCCGCAUUAGCUAGUUGGUAAGGUAACGGCUUACCAAGGCAACGAUGCGUAGCCGACCUGAGAGGGUGAUCGGCCACACUGGAACUGAGACACGGUCCAGACUCCUACGGGAGGCGGCAGUAGGGAAUCUUCCGCAAUGGGCGAAAGCUUGACGGAGCAACGCCGCGUGAGUGAUGAAGGUCUUCGGAUCGUAAAACUCUGUUAUUAGGGAAGAACAAAUGUGUAAGUAACUAUGCACGUCUUGACGGUACCUAAUCAGAAAGCCACGGCUAACUACGUG
This 497-nucleotide ribosomal RNA is filed under the name uncultured bacterium. RNAcentral describes it as "partial 16S ribosomal RNA". It matches the Rfam family "Bacterial small subunit ribosomal RNA", at positions 28 to 507 of the family's 1533-position model. The record is from RNAcentral.